This 301-nucleotide ribosomal RNA is filed under the name uncultured bacterium. RNAcentral's name for it is "partial 16S ribosomal RNA". It matches the Rfam family "Bacterial small subunit ribosomal RNA", at positions 509 to 807 of the family's 1533-position model. The record is from RNAcentral.
CAGUCGCCGCGGUAAUGCGAAGGGUGCAAGCGUUAAUCGGAAUUACUGGGCGUAAAGCGUGCGUAGGCGGUGAGUUAAGUCUGCUGUGAAAUCCCCGGGCUCAACCUGGGAAUGGCAGUGGAUACUGGCUCGCUAGAGUGUGUCAGAGGAUGGUGGAAUUCCCGGUGUAGCGGUGAAAUGCGUAGAGAUCGGGAGGAACAUCAGUGGCGAAGGCGGCCAUCUGGGACAACACUGACGCUGAGGCACGAAAGCGUGGGGAGCAAACAGGAUUAGAUACCCGCGUAGUCCCUGUCUCUUAUAC